RNAcentral lists this ribosomal RNA (503 nucleotides) under uncultured bacterium. RNAcentral's name for it is "partial 16S ribosomal RNA". It matches the Rfam family "Bacterial small subunit ribosomal RNA", at positions 30 to 523 of the family's 1533-position model. The record is from RNAcentral.
AUUGAACGCUGGCGGCAGGCUUAACACAUGCAAGUCGAGCGGGGUGAUGGUGCUUGCACUAUCACUUAGCGGCGGACGGGUGAGUAAUGCUUAGGAAUCUGCCUAUUAGUGGGGGACAACAUCUCGAAAGGGAUGCUAAUACCGCAUACGUCCUACGGGAGAAAGCAGGGGAUCACUUGUGACCUUGCGCUAAUAGAUGAGCCUAAGUCGGAUUAGCUAGUUGGUGGGGUAAAGGCAUACCAAGGCGACGAUCUGUAGCGGGUCUGAGAGGAUGAUCCGCCACACUGGGACUGAGACACGGCCCAGACUCCUACGGGAAGCAGCAGUGGGGAAUAUUGGACAAUGGGGGGAAACCUGAUCCAGCCAUGCCGCGUGUGUGAAGAAGGCCUUAUGGUUGUAAAGCACUUUAAGCGAGGAGGAGGCUCUUUUGGUUAAUACCCAAGAUGAGUGGACGUUACUCGCAGAAUAAGCACCGGCUAACUCUGUGCCAGCCGCCGCGGUAA